This 71-nucleotide transfer RNA is filed under the name Phaeoceros laevis. RNAcentral's name for it is "tRNA-Val". It matches the Rfam family "tRNA". Rfam says of the family: Transfer RNA (tRNA) molecules are approximately 80 nucleotides in length. Lineage: Eukaryota; Viridiplantae; Streptophyta; Anthocerotopsida; Notothyladales; Notothyladaceae. The record is from RNAcentral.
GCGAAUAUGGAUGAAAGAAAAAUUAUCUGCCUUACAAGCAGAGGAUACGAGUUCGAUUUUCGUUAUUUACA